AAUGUAGUCUGUGAGCUUACUCUAAUUUUGUCAACAAAUUUGCUACAGGUAAACAACAAUGGAUUAAAGCACAUGUCGAGAAUGCUAAAUAACAGGCCAUACUCCAAAUUUUAAAAUCACAAUUAUCCUCCGAUGAGGCUCACAUGCAUAGGGAUAUCCACUCUCUUAGGGGAAAGAGUUCCGAGCUUGCUGUAGAACUCUCGACACAUUUUCAAAAGGUGCAGCCUUUCAUAUGUGAGGGCUUCGGGGCAGACAAACCAAGGGUUGAUAACUUUAGAAGAAGUUAAGCAGCAUAAAACUGAAAUUGUAUUUGAACGCAGUUUUAAAAGCUUAUGCGUACAAUGCUGGAGGUAACUUAUAAACUUCAGUGUUUUGCAUUUUUUGGGUUUAUUUGAGUUUUAAAUGAACUCCGUUUGCUGCUGAUGAUCAAGGCGUCUAGUUAUUCCAUUGGAGAACAACUGAUUGACUUGGUGGGAGCAAAUUGAUAAUUGGCCGAAGUUUACUCUUAAUAUGAGUUCUUAACUUGUGGUUCAUCCAAAUAAGAAGUUUGAACCAAUAGACAAUGGGCAGCGCUUACUACCCAGCAGGGAAUCAGUCUCCAGUAAGAUACGAUGAUACUCCUGGGCUCAACAAUUUGUUCCCAAAUGAACAAUAAUUUGUUCUUUUUAUUUAAAAAUUA
Molecule: long non-coding RNA, 679 nt
Organism: Lolium perenne
Lineage: Eukaryota; Viridiplantae; Streptophyta; Magnoliopsida; Poales; Poaceae
Source: RefSeq, a predicted model, not a curated record